GGCUCGGUGGUGUAGUUGGUUAUCACGUCAGUCUAACAUCAAAGUUAGCUUCACUGAAGGUCCCGUGUUCAAGCCACGGCUGAGUCA
This is a non-coding RNA of Cucurbitaria berberidis CBS 394.84, 87 nucleotides long. The record is from the annotation of a RefSeq genome assembly. NCBI's taxonomy places the organism in Eukaryota, Fungi, Ascomycota, Dothideomycetes, Pleosporales, Cucurbitariaceae.